GUUUUUUUUUAUUUGAGUUUUUCUGCAUAUUUAUGUGAUCUUUUUUCUUUUAAUUUGUGUUGGGAGACUGCGUAACCGGGAAUUCCAAGCGUUGAUGAGACUCGUCUUACAACAUUCAAUGCCCUGGGAACUACUUGUUACAUCCCUUGGGAUCCCAAUAAUUCACAUUUACUGCUUCAGACUAUUAAAGUAAUGCCAACAUGAACAAACUGAAGAAAAUGGUUCUGGUUGUAUAGACACCUCUGACAGUGCACCUUUGACAAUGCAAGGUAGGAAAAUAUGUGUGGUUGGCAUAUGAGGAAGCAUAUGAGUUAUCAAUUCAAAUUGGGUCAGCUACAAGGAGCUGUGAUGUUAGUUCGG
Cryptomeria japonica (Japanese cedar) is the source of this 360-nucleotide long non-coding RNA. RefSeq lists it as uncharacterized. The record is from RefSeq and is a predicted model, not a curated record. Lineage: Eukaryota; Viridiplantae; Streptophyta; Pinopsida; Cupressales; Cupressaceae. The transcript is spliced from 3 exons.